UAGGGAAUCUUCCGCAAUGGGCGAAAGCCUGACGGAGCAACGCCGCGUGAGUGAUGAAGGUCUUCGGAUCGUAAAACUCUGUUAUUAGGGAAGAACAAAUGUGUAAGUAACUAUGCACGUCUUGACGGUACCUAAUCAGAAAGCCACGGCUAACUACGUGCCAGCAGCCGCGGUAAUACGUAGGUGGCAAGCGUUAUCCGGAAUUAUUGGGCGUAAAGCGCGCGUAGGCGGUUUUUUAAGUCUGAUGUGAAAGCCCACGGCUCAACCGUGGAGGGUCAUUGGAAACUGGAAAACUUGAGUGCAGAAGAGGAAAGUGGAAUUCCAUGUGUAGCGGUUAAAUGCGCAGAGAUAUGGAGGAACACCAGUGGCGAAGGCGACUUUCUGGUCUGUAACUGACGCUGAUGUGCGAAAGCGUGGGGAUCAAACAGG
This 429-nucleotide ribosomal RNA is filed under the name Actinomycetes bacterium. Its description in RNAcentral is "Actinobacteria bacterium partial 16S ribosomal RNA". It matches the Rfam family "Bacterial small subunit ribosomal RNA", at positions 355 to 776 of the family's 1533-position model. The record is from RNAcentral. Lineage: Bacteria; Bacillati; Actinomycetota; Actinomycetes.